CAACUCGCCUACAUGAAGCUGGAAUUGCUAGUAAUCAUAGGUCAGCAUACUAUGGUGAAUACGUUCCCGGGCCUUGUACACACCGCCCGUCACACCACGAGAGUUGAGAAUACCCGAAGUCCAUGUCAAAGUGGCCGAAGGUAGGCUUGAUGAUUGGGGUGAAGUCGUAACAAGGUACC
RNAcentral lists this ribosomal RNA (179 nucleotides) under uncultured bacterium. Its description in RNAcentral is "partial 16S ribosomal RNA". It matches the Rfam family "Bacterial small subunit ribosomal RNA", at positions 1308 to 1500 of the family's 1533-position model. The record is from RNAcentral.